RNAcentral lists this unclassified non-coding RNA (1098 nucleotides) under Leishmania donovani. RNAcentral describes it as "gene:LdHU3.35.2840(CDS-product:Ribosomal_protein_ L11_N-inal_domain/Ribosomal_protein_L11_RNA_binding_domain_ containing_protein_putative)". The record is from RNAcentral. Lineage: Eukaryota; Euglenozoa; Kinetoplastea; Trypanosomatida; Trypanosomatidae.
GUGCACACUUUCACCUCGUUUGAGGACGACAGUUUUCCAUGCCGCCGAAGUUCGACCCCAACCAGGAGAUCGUGGUGGUGGUGCGCGCCGUCGGUGGCGAGGUGGCUGCGACAGCCUCCCUCGCCCCCAAGGUCGGUCCUCUCGGUCUCAACGCCAAGAAGAUUGGUGAGGAUAUCGCCAAGUGCACCAAGGACUGGAAGGGCUUGAAGGUCACCUGCGAGCUGCGCGUCAAGAACCGUGUGGCGACGGUGGUGGUGACGCCGUCCGUGGCGUCUCGCCUCAUCCGCGCACUGAAGGAGCCGCCGCGCGACCGCAAGAAGGUCAAGAACAUCAAGCAUAGCGGCAACAUCCCGUUCGCGGAGAUCAUCAAGAUCGCCAAGGAGUCGCAGCCCAAGUCCAUGGGUAGCGAUCUCAAGGCCGUCGUGAUGGAGGUGCUCGGCACGGCCGUGUCCAUCGGCUGCACCGUCGAUGGCGAGAGCCCGCUCGACAUCCAGGCGAAGGUACGGGAGGGAAAGUUGAAGGUCCCCAACUAAGGGGUAAUCGUGUGAGUUUUCUUCCCUUGCGUAGGUGCAUACGCUGCAGCAUCUGCUUCUGCAUGCGACUUGUUUAUCCUUUUCCUUUUGAGAAAGCAAAAUCAAUCGCGCAAGAGUAUCAUCGCCGAGGGCUCGAUCGCCCCAGAGGGAUGAUCAGCUGGCGAAGGGUCGGCAGAGGUCCCUCCUCCCUUCUUCCCCUACCGCUCGCUCACUGUGACCCCGUGACACUGAAGCGGCAGGGUGCAGCAGCACCGCUACCCUCUCCUUUUCGCCCUUCCUCUCUGAUGUGCUGUUCUUCGCAUAGCUUCGUCCUUUAUGUUUAGUGAGUUGAGAGGCCAAAACGGAGAUGGUAGCCAUGAAUCGGGGUGUAUCCUGCAGCAAGGAUAACCGAAGCACCUUCAUCCACGGUCUUCAAUGGCCACAAGGCGGAAAAGCGGUGAGAGUGCGAGGGCGACAUAGAAGGACAAUAACGAAGGAGAUAGAGAGGGGGGAUGCUGGCUGCGGUGGGAGGAGCUGCACGUCGUCUCGUCAUCGGUAGUGAGGGUGUCACGAAGAGGAGCAAAAC